GACGAACGCUGGCGGCGUGCUUAACACAUGCAAGUCGAACGCUGAAGCCUGGCUUUUGUUGGGUGGAUGAGUGGCGAACGGGUGAGUAACACGUGAGUAACCUGCCCUCUUCUUUGGGAUAACGCCCGGAAACGGGUGCUAAUACUGGAUAUUCACUUGCCUUCGCAUGGGGGUGGGUGGAAAGGGUUUUUUCUGGUGGGGGAUGGGCUCGCGGCCUAUCAGCUUGUUGGUGGGGUGAUGGCUUACCAAGGCUCCCACGUGUUUUUUCCUGAAAGUCUUACCGUUUCCCCUUGUACUUAUAUUCU
RNAcentral lists this ribosomal RNA (305 nucleotides) under uncultured Actinomyces sp. RNAcentral describes it as "bacterial SSU rRNA". It matches the Rfam family "Bacterial small subunit ribosomal RNA", at positions 28 to 328 of the family's 1533-position model. Lineage: Bacteria; Bacillati; Actinomycetota; Actinomycetes; Actinomycetales; Actinomycetaceae. The record is from RNAcentral.